Macadamia integrifolia is the source of this 2788-nucleotide RNA transcript. RefSeq lists it as uncharacterized. The record is from RefSeq and is a predicted model, not a curated record. NCBI's taxonomy places the organism in Eukaryota, Viridiplantae, Streptophyta, Magnoliopsida, Proteales, Proteaceae. The transcript is spliced from 9 exons.
UACCCUGACCUUCACACCCCUCACCUUCAACGUGGAAAUCAAAGAACAGUUAUACGACUCAUGAUCGUUGUCAACUCCAAAGCUAAAUUUGAAGCUAAAUUCUCAAGACUCAAAAAGGGUUUUUGUAAAUUUGGAUCCAAAAAGUUGAGGAUGAUCAUUGUCCACUCCAAAAGCCUCCUCUCAGACCCUUAAGUCCUCUCUCUAUCUUACUCUGACCUUCCAAUUUAGUCACAUUUGAGAGGAAGAAGAAGAUCAUCUGGUUAACAAAUUCACUUGGGUUUGAAAUCCAGAAGGGACAUAAAUUGAGCAUAUUUAACAAAACCCACCUCUCAAAAACCUCGAACACAUAGAGAGAAAGAGAGAGAGAAAGAGAGAGAGUCAGCUGAUCCACACACUGUCCACAUGAAGGUAACACGAAAUUGGCGCCGCCGAGGUAAUUUAAAUCUGGAGGGACGUCUUCAACGCCAUCCAUAACCUCGACGCUGCGCCCAACAUCACCGUUUUCGAGCUGGCCUUCCAGCUGCCCCGUCGUCUUCUCGCUUGAUCUGACUCAUGGGGUGAUUCAUGGACUGCAUGUGGUCCUCAUGAUCGUACAAUGGUACCUGCUCAUUCGCGUCAGGCAUUCCUGCAGAGCAUUACAGAAGCAGCAGAUCUAUGAAGAUAAGACUCUGAAACCCUAGUCUUUCUCCGUGCACCAAAAUUGUGAAAUCUUCGCCUUGCAGAGAGCGGACUGUGAUGUUAAUGAUAGAAAAGAAAUCCUAUACUGACUGCGAUUGGUUGUUCCGAUCUGUUUUGAAACCGAAAGUAGAGUUAACUCAGGAGAGGACAAUGGGUGAAGGUAAAUAACUCUCAACGAUUUGGUCCUUCUAAGCGUCUUCUCCGAACACCCAGUUGGGUUAGGGGGCGUUUGGCUCGAAUUUUCCAUCAAAUCACAUUCUAUGGAAUCAGUUUCUCAUUAAAUUUAAACCAUUUCUCAUUUUUGUGAAAAGCUUAUUCGGAGUUGUGGUGUCCAGUGGAAUCCCACAUUUCAACUAAAAUCCAUGACUCAACUGGAUUAACCUCAAUAGGUUAAUCCAAGAUCGAGUCAUGGUUUCUAGGGUUGUUAUAAAAAGCCUAGAUUCACUCUGAAUCAAAAUUUUCGGAAUCGUGCGAUUUUUACGGUGAAGGUCGAUCGGAGUUUACCUGAAACAGAGAGACGGAGAUGCUCGCAGCUGAGAAGAAUUUGAAAACCGAGUUGAUUGAAGGUUGUAAACUUUAUAUCUAGGGUUUACCCUCUUUCCAAAUCAGACACUCAAAUCCGAGGUUUGAAUCUGCAAAACCGAAGCUUGAUUUAAGAAAGCAGUCGGGAACAUAACCGACAAAGAGAGAGAGAGAGACCUACAGUUUCUUUUGCUCUCUAACGCUGAUACAUUUGGUGAAGACCAUCGAGAUCACUUCUUUACGGAGCUCAGAAUUCUGAUUGAUAAAAGGAGUAGCGAUCAUGGCACUUGUGAGGUCAACCAAAAGGCCUAUAGUUGAUGAUCCCAUCACUGUUUGAUCAAGGUGGGGAAAAAAAUCUCAGAGCUUAUUCGAGAUUCAGGCAACCAGACGUCUGGUUCAGAGCAGGGCAGGUGGCAAUCAGAACUUACCCAAGUAGCAAUAGAGUUGAUUGAGUUGAAGUUGAACGUAAAAACAACUGGCUUUUUUUCCUUGAAUUUCUAUGCAAAGCUCUUGGGACGACAUCUGAUGAUAAACCUUUGACUUUUAUGUCAGAAAAACAAAAGGAUUUAUCGGAUGCCAUCGCCAGAUUAUUCCCUAAUGUGCAUCAAAGAUGUUGUGUUAGACAUUUAUAUCAGAACUUCAAGUCAACAGGAUUUUCUAAACAGUUGUUUAAAAAGCACUUCUGGUCAGCAGCAUCAGCAACAAUAGUCAUCCAGUUUGAGAAGGAAAUGAAAGCCAUCAAAGAUAUAUCCAGUGAUGAAUAUAAUUGGAUGAUAGAAACUCCUACAAAGUACUAGGCACGACAUGCGUUUGAUUUGCUGCUAAGAGUCCUCAGCUAACCAAUAACAUGGCUGAGUCAUUCAACCAUUGGAUAGUAGCUGUGAGAGACAAGCCUAUUAUGAUGAUAAUUGAUGAGAUUAGGCUGAAAAUAAUGAGUAGGAUAUUUAUGAUGUUUGAGAAGGGUUGCAGCUAUCCAGUAUCUGGUCCAAUCACACUGGAUAUGAAAAAAAAUUUAGACAAGGUACAACAGAAAGAAAGAGAAUGCAUUGUGCACCAAGCUAAUUCACAGACAUUUGAGGUGGUAGAUAUGCAUGGUAACAUGUCCUCGCGAUGACGAACAAUCGAAGAAAAAGAACAAAACAAGAAGGAAGAGAAAUUAAGGGGAUGAGAUUCAACAUAAAGGUAGCAACUCCCAAGUACUAACAAGGUCACAAGCAACAUCUCAGCCAACAAAAAAAAAAAAAAAUUCAGGAGAGAGCUUUAGUCCGGCAAACUAUCAAGUACUUGAAAUGGAGGAGAACAUAUGCAAAGAAGAAAUAGAAAAAUGGAUGUUGGUGAUGGGAGAGAGCAACUAGGAUAUGGAACAAGCUUUUUUUUGGGACAAAAUUAUUAUUGAGAGAUGAUCAUUGGGAUAUGGAAUUGUUUGAUUGUUUCCUUGGGUUUUGGAACAAUGAUGUUUAUCUAUAUUAUGGAACAAUUUGUUUGUUUAUUUGGGUUUCGGAACAAUGAUGUUUAUUUGAGUUUUGGAACAUGGAUGCUUAUUUGGUAGACUCUAUGGAUGCACUUUAAUAGGCUUGUGAUAUGGAAA